This 497-nucleotide ribosomal RNA is filed under the name uncultured bacterium. RNAcentral describes it as "partial 16S ribosomal RNA". It matches the Rfam family "Bacterial small subunit ribosomal RNA", at positions 28 to 507 of the family's 1533-position model. The record is from RNAcentral.
GAUGAACGCUGGCGGCGUGCCUAAUACAUGCGAGUCGAGCGAACGGACGAGAAGCUUGCUUCUCUGAUGUUAGCGGCGGACGGGUGAGUAACACGUGGAUAACCUACCUAUAAGACUGGGAUAACUUCGGGAAACCGGAGCUAAUACCGGAUAAUAUUUUGAACCGCAUGGUUCAAAAGUGAAAGACGGUCUUGCUGUCACUUAUAGAUGGAUCCGCGCUGCAUUAGCUAGUUGGUAAGGUAACGGCUUACCAAGGCAACGAUGCAUAGCCGACCUGAGAGGGUGAUCGGCCACACUGGAACUGAGACACGGUCCAGACUCCUACGGGAGGCAGCAGUAGGGAAUCUUCCGCAAUGGGCGAAAGCCUGACGGAGCAACGCCGCGUGAGUGAUAAAGGUCUUCGGAUCGUAAAACUCUGUUAUUAGGGAAGAACAUAUGUGUAAGUAACUGUGCACAUCUUGACGGUACCUAAUCAGAAAGCCACGGCUAACUACGUG